UCCAGACUCCUACGGGAGGCAGCAGUGAGGAAUAUUGGUCAAUGGGCGAGAGCCUGAACCAGCCAAGUCGCGUGAGGGAGGACGGCCCUACGGGUUGUAAACCUCUUUUGCCGGGGGACAAACGGCGGCACGCGUGCCGUCCUGAGGGUACCCGGAGAAAAAGCAUCGGCUAACUCCGUGCCAGCAGCCGCGGUAAUACGGAGGAUGCGAGCGUUAUCCGGAUUUAUUGGGUUUAAAGGGAGCGUAGAUGGGUUGUUAAGUCAGUUGUGAAAGUUUGCGGCUCAACCGUAAAAUUGCAAUUGAUACUGGCAGUCUUGAGUACAGUUGAGGUAGGCGGAAUUCGUGGUGUAGCGGUGAAAUGCUUAGAUAUCACGAAGAACUCCGAUUGCGAAGGCAGCUUACUAAACUGCCACUGACAUUGAUGCUCGAAAGUGUGGGUAUCAAACAGGAUUAGAUACCCCGGUAGC
This 467-nucleotide ribosomal RNA is filed under the name uncultured bacterium. RNAcentral describes it as "bacterial SSU rRNA". It matches the Rfam family "Bacterial small subunit ribosomal RNA", at positions 330 to 794 of the family's 1533-position model. The record is from RNAcentral.